RNAcentral lists this long non-coding RNA (539 nucleotides) under Pan troglodytes (chimpanzee). RNAcentral describes it as "lincRNA". The record is from RNAcentral. Lineage: Eukaryota; Metazoa; Chordata; Mammalia; Primates; Hominidae.
AAUGUGGACUGGACGAAGGAGCCUCGUUGGAAUAAACUCAUAUAGGAAUGAUGAUACCGUGUUUACCUACUAAUGGGAAUGACCCUAUUGAAGAGGGAACAUCACGUAUGUUGGGGAGCGGAAAAGUCAAAGUCCUCGAAAAGGAAGCACUUUGGAAACCAAUGGCUGAAAAGUUUGCUUUCUGUGAGAAGUGUAAAUCAAAGUCAUGUUUCUGUUUCCAGCAGUACAGGAAAGAGAGUUAAACCUGAUGGACACAAGCAGGUAAAAUCUGCCCAAAAUGACUCUGGGGCUUGUUGAAAAAUUAACGCCUAUGAGAUCUGUCUCAUUCGAGGGCAAGGCAUGGCGGAUCACCUUUCCACAUCAGUGCCUGGGUCUGACCUGUACCAUCUUUAUACGCUCAGCAGAUUAACUGGAGCCAUCUGAAGGAACCCUAUAACCAGGAGGCCGCUGUCCUCAGGGUUGAGCACCAUCUAUGGUCAUAUCAGGGAAACUGUAUAUUUCCCAGCCAGGAAUAAACAUUCCUGCUUUCAAGUCUCCCA